This 64-nucleotide transfer RNA is filed under the name Neisseria meningitidis. RNAcentral's name for it is "tRNA-Asn". It matches the Rfam family "tRNA", at positions 5 to 66 of the family's 71-position model. From Rfam's summary of the family: Transfer RNA (tRNA) molecules are approximately 80 nucleotides in length. Their secondary structure includes four short double-helical elements and three loops (D, anti-codon, and T loops). The record is from RNAcentral. RNAcentral also lists the same sequence under 3 other names. Lineage: Bacteria; Pseudomonadati; Pseudomonadota; Betaproteobacteria; Neisseriales; Neisseriaceae.
CGAUAGCUCAGUCGGUAGAGCGACGGACUGUUAAUCCGCAGGUCCCUGGUUCGAGCCCAGGUCG